This 182-nucleotide non-coding RNA is filed under the name Nitrospinae bacterium RIFCSPLOWO2_02_39_17. RNAcentral's name for it is "6S RNA". It matches the Rfam family "6S / SsrS RNA". Rfam says of the family: E. coli 6S RNA was the first non coding RNA to be sequenced, but its function was unknown until recently. It consists of 184 nucleotides that fold into an extended hairpin structure with a large single-stranded internal bulge. Lineage: Bacteria; Pseudomonadati; Nitrospinota. The record is from RNAcentral.
AAUCCCCUAUCAUGCGCGAGGUGGAGAAGAAUUUUUGAUCCAUUACGCUUAGAAUGGGAACCAAUUUGUGGCUAUGGUGUGUAUGCCUGCGUUAAGCAGGAAACCUAAAGUAGCCCAUGCGGAUCCCACCUGGUUUGCCAGGUUCAGAAUAUCUUUUUCAUACGGCAUAGGAUGGGGGAUUA